GUGGGGAAUCUUGCGCAAUGGGCGAAAGCCUGACGCAGCAACGCCGUGUGGGUGAUGACGGUCUUCGGAUUGUAAAGCCCUGUUGAGGGGGACGAGCAAGGACGGUACCCCUCGAGGAAGCACCGGCUAACUCCGUGCCAGCAGCCGCGGUAAUACGGAGGGUGCAAACGUUGUUCGGAAUCAUUGGGCGUAAAGCGCACGCAGGCGGUUUAUCAGGUCGGAUGUGAAAUGCCGGGGCUCAACCCCGGAACUGCGUUCGAAACCGGUAAGCUGGAGUCACGGAGGGAGAAGGGGAAUUCCUGGUGUAGGGGUGAAAUCCGUAGAGAUCAGGAGGAACACCGGCGGCGAAAGCGCCUUCUUGGACGAUGACUGACGCUGAGGUGCGAAAGCGUGGGGAGCAAACAGGAUUAGAUACCCUAGUAGUCC
This 426-nucleotide ribosomal RNA is filed under the name uncultured bacterium. Its description in RNAcentral is "partial 16S ribosomal RNA". It matches the Rfam family "Bacterial small subunit ribosomal RNA", at positions 354 to 796 of the family's 1533-position model. The record is from RNAcentral.